UACGGAGGGAGCAAGCGUUACUCGGAAUUAUUGGGCGUAAAGGGCUCGUAGGCGGCCAACUAAGUCGGAUGUGAAAUCCCCAGGCUUAACCUGGGAACUGCAUCCGAUACUGGAUGGCUUGAAUCCGGGAGAGGGAUGCAGAAUUCCAGGUGUAGCGGUGAAAUGCGUAGAUAUCUGGAGGAACACCGGUGGCGAAGGCGGCAUCCUGGACCGGCAUUGACGCUGAGGCGCGAAAGCCAGGGGAGCAAACGGG
This 253-nucleotide ribosomal RNA is filed under the name uncultured bacterium. Its description in RNAcentral is "partial 16S ribosomal RNA". It matches the Rfam family "Bacterial small subunit ribosomal RNA", at positions 524 to 776 of the family's 1533-position model. The record is from RNAcentral.